GACAGAGGAUGCAAGCGUUAUCCGGAAUGAUUGGGCGUAAAGCGCGUGUAGGCGGCUCGAUAAGUCUGCUGUGAAAGUCCAGGGCUCAACCCUGGGAUGCCGGUGGAUACUGUCGAGCUCGAGUCCGGAAGAGGCGAGUGGAAUUCCUGGUGUAGCGGUGAAAUGCGCAGAUAUCAGGAGGAACACCAAUGGCGAAGGCAGCUCGCUGGGACGUGACUGACGCUGAGACGCGAAAGCGUGGGGAGCAAACAGG
RNAcentral lists this ribosomal RNA (253 nucleotides) under uncultured bacterium. RNAcentral's name for it is "partial 16S ribosomal RNA". It matches the Rfam family "Bacterial small subunit ribosomal RNA", at positions 524 to 776 of the family's 1533-position model. The record is from RNAcentral.